GCAGAGUAGAUCUGCGCGUGUUCAGUGCCGGCGGGACGGGGAGUUGUCCGCCGGACGAAACGGCCCGUUUGGGCCUGCAGUGCGCAUUUCGCAUCCCGCUGC
RNAcentral lists this non-coding RNA (102 nucleotides) under human gut metagenome. RNAcentral describes it as "THF riboswitch". It matches the Rfam family "THF (Tetrahydrofolate) riboswitch aptamer". Rfam says of the family: THF riboswitch presents a pseudoknot that joins P1-P2 and the loop of P3 and two THF binding. The record is from RNAcentral.